UGGGGAAUUUUGGACAAUGGGCGCAAGCCUGAUCCGGCCAUGCCGCGUGCGGGAAGAAGGCCUUCGGGUUGUAAACCGCUUUUGUCAGGGAAGAAAUCUUCUGAGUUAAUACCUCGGGAGGAUGACGGUACCUGAAGAAUAAGCACCGGCUAACUACGUGCCAGCAGCCGCGGUAAUACGUAGGGUGCAAGCGUUAAUCGGAAUUACUGGGCGUAAAGCGUGCGCAGGCGGUUUUGUAAGACAGAGGUGAAAUCCCCGGGCUCAACCUGGGAACUGCCUUUGUGACUGCAAGGCUUGAGUGCGGCAGAGGGGGGUGGAAUUCCGCGUGUAGCAGUGAAAUGCGUAGAUAUGCGGAGGAACACCGAUGGCGAAGGCAAUCCCCUGGGCCUGCACUGACGCUCAUGCACGAAAGCGUGGGGAGCAAACAGGAUUAGAUACCCUGGUAGUCCACGCCCUAAACGAUGUCAACUGGUUGUUGGGAAGGUUCCUUCUCAGUAACGUAGCUAACGCGUGAAGUUGACCGCCUGGGGAGUACGGCCGCAAGGUUG
RNAcentral lists this ribosomal RNA (548 nucleotides) under uncultured bacterium. Its description in RNAcentral is "partial 16S ribosomal RNA". It matches the Rfam family "Bacterial small subunit ribosomal RNA", at positions 355 to 896 of the family's 1533-position model. The record is from RNAcentral.